AUGAAAACAUAAACAAAACAGCUGAGGGCAAAACGUAAAAGGAAGAAAACUCAAGGAAGUUUAGGAACGACCAAACCUGUUCGUUGGCAGCUGAGAUGAUCAUUCGUGGGUCACUUCUCGCCUGUGCGCGCAGAAAAAUGGUGAACGAACUGAGCAAAAAUGUUUCAAACCGAGCGGCGGCUACGUGUACAACACAAGUAGGACCGAUGAUGUCAAGACAAAAAGAUCUGAUGAAGUUACCGGUGCCGCCGUUGCAAGAAACGCUCCAGAGAUACGUCGAGUCGAUCAAGCCACUUGUUACGCCUGCCCAGUUCGAGAAAACAGCGAAGGUUGUAGGAGAGUUUGGAAAGCCAAAUGGAAUAGGAGAGAAGUUGUACAAAGUGCUGGAAGCCAAAGCAGCAUCUACAGAAAACUGGCUUGCAGACUGGUGGUUGCAAGGAGCCUACCUCACAUAUAGGAUGCCGGUCGUUGUGUACUCAAACCCUGCAAUGGCACUGCCUAGGCAGACAUUCACACAGAAAGAAGACCAACUCAGGCAUGCUGCUUUGCUUAUUGCUGGAGCUCUAGACUUCAAAGCCUUGGUGGAACGGCAACAGUUGGCUCCAGAAAUGAUGGGCAAGCAUCCUUUGGACAUGUCCCAGUACCAAAAAAUCUUCAGCACAUGCCGUGUCCCAGGUGUCAAACAGGAUAGCUUGGAAACCUAUUUUCUCAGUGACAGUCCACCUAAACAUGUGCUGGUCGUGCACAACAAUGAGUUUUUUGCAGUUGAGGUCUAUGAUAGCCAAGGAAAUCCAUAUGAUGAGCACCAAAUUCUUCAGCAACUUCGUCAGGUGGUGGAUAUGUCGGCAAGUGUUGGUGCCGGAGUUGGUAUUCUGACAACUGAGCACAGAGAUAACUGGGCGAAGGCAUUUGAGAACCUCUGCAGAAAUCCUCACAAUGCAGAAUCUGUGGACUCCAUUAAGAAAGCCAUCCUCGUGGUCUGUCUUGAUCAAAAACUAAAGGCUAAGGAGCCAUAUGAAGUGGCCUGUGCUUAUCAAAUGCUUCUUGGAGGCAGAAAUGGGGAAAAUGCUGCCAAUCGCUGGUGCGAUAAAACUGUACAGCUGAUUGUCGGAGAAGAUGGCUACACAGGGAUGCUUUAUGAGCACAGCCCCUCAGAAGGUCCUCCCGUGGCAGUGCUGGUGGAUCAUUGCUACAAGUACAUUGACAAGAAGCAGGGUUGUCCAUCGUCUGGUAAAACAGCUGACAAAAUUCCCAAGAAGCUUGAAUUUGUUGUGUCCCCAGACACCACAGAUGACAUCGAGAAAGCACGUUCCUCACUUUCUAGGCUCACGGCAGACCUAGACCUCUUCAUCUACAAGUUUAAAGGAUACGGAAAGGAAUUUAUCAAGUCUUGCAAGCUAAGUCCAGACAGCUAUGUCCAGAUGGCAAUGCAGCUAGCAUACUACAAGAUUUACAAGGCACCCGGUGCAACAUACGAGAGUGCUUCCACACGGAAGUUUAUUCACGGGCGGACUGAGACCAUCCGCUCAACUUCAAGUGAAAGCUUGGCUUUUUGCAAGGCUUUUGAAAAUAGUCAGACCAAACUUUCAGAAAAGGUAGAGAGUCUACGGAAAGCUGUUCAGAACCACAAGGACUAUACAAAUUUGGCUAUUAAUGGACAUGGUGUGGACCGGCUGUUGCUUGGUUUGAAACUUAUUGCCAUUGAAAAUGAAAUUCCCAUGCCUGAAAUAUACAAAGAUCCAGCGUACAACAUCAGCACUGAGUUCAAAAUUUCAUCUAGUCAGGUGGCAACACAGUGCGAUGCAGUCAUGUUUUAUGGCCCACUUGUCAAGGAUGGCUAUGGCUGCUGUUAUAACCCACAAGCACACACUGUCACAUUUGGCCUGUCAUCCUUCAAUAGCUGUGCCACCACAUCCACUGGGAAAUUUAGGGAUGCCCUGGAGGAAAGCUUGACUCAGAUGCAUGAUUGCCUCAGGCUUGCACAGCCAUCAAAGUUGUAGCAAGGAUUGUUAUGCAUCAGUAUGCUAUUGUGCAGCUGUGAAGAACAAAUUGUUGGCGUUUUCUCAGGGGUUGAGAAGUGCAUUCUAAGAAACUAUUGAUGCAGUGCAUAUGUUUUUUAUAGCUUUGAUCAAACUGCUAAGAUAGACGUUGCUUGUUUAUACGUGUCACAAGAGUCGUUAAGCAAAUUUUGCACCCAUUGUGUUGAUCAAAAAAUACUAUGUACCUGAGUUCUACUUAACAGUGACCAGAGAAGGUUUGGGUGGUGUAUGCCGUGAAGUCAAUGCCUUGGUCAAAAAUAGUGUUUUAGAUUGUAGGUAGGAGUCUAAAAAUGGGUAAG
RNAcentral lists this unclassified non-coding RNA (2338 nucleotides) under Dermacentor andersoni. Its description in RNAcentral is "carnitine O-acetyltransferase-like". Lineage: Eukaryota; Metazoa; Arthropoda; Arachnida; Ixodida; Ixodidae. The record is from RNAcentral.